RNAcentral lists this ribosomal RNA (644 nucleotides) under uncultured bacterium. RNAcentral describes it as "bacterial SSU rRNA". It matches the Rfam family "Bacterial small subunit ribosomal RNA", at positions 8 to 694 of the family's 1533-position model. The record is from RNAcentral.
AGAGUUUGAUCCUGGCUCAGGACGAACGCUGGCGGUGUGCUUCACACAUGCAAGUCGAACGAGGUAGCAAUACCUAGUGGCGGACGGGUGAGUAACGCGUGGGAAUCUGCCUUUAGAUGGGGGAUAACGAGCCGAAAGGUUCGCUAAUACCGCAUAUGCCGCAAGGUGAAAGGAGUAAUCCGUCUAAAGAUGAGCCCGCGUCCGAUUAGCUAGUUGGUGGGGUAAAGGCCUACCAAGGCGACAAUCGGUAGCUGGUCUGAGAGGAUGAUCAGCCACAAUGGGACUGAGACACGGCCCAUACUCCUACGGGAGGCAGCAGUGGGGAAUUUUACGCAAUGGGGGAAACCCUGACGUAGCGACACCGCGUGAGCGAAGAAGCCCCUUGGGGUGUAAAGCUCUGUCAGCUGGAACGAAACAAAUGACGGUACCAGCAGAGGAAGCAUCGGCUAACUACGUGCCAGCAGCCGCGGUAAGACGUAGGAUGCGAGCGUUGUCCGGAUUUAUUGGGCGUAAAGAGUUCGUAGGUGGUUUGUUAAGUUUGAUGUUAAAGAUCGGGGCUCAACCUCGGGACAGCAUUGAAUACUGGCAGACUUGAGUAUGGUAGAGGCUAGUGGAAUUCCCAGUGUAGCGGUGAAAUGCGUAGA